RNAcentral lists this transfer RNA (75 nucleotides) under Azoarcus sp. Its description in RNAcentral is "tRNA-Val". It matches the Rfam family "tRNA". From Rfam's summary of the family: Transfer RNA (tRNA) molecules are approximately 80 nucleotides in length. RNAcentral also lists the same sequence under 9 other names. Lineage: Bacteria; Pseudomonadati; Pseudomonadota; Betaproteobacteria; Rhodocyclales; Zoogloeaceae. The record is from RNAcentral.
GGGUGGUUAGCUCAGCGGUAGAGCACUGCCUUCACACGGCAGGGGUCACUGGUUCGAUCCCAGUACCACCCACCA